GCCAGGAUAGCUCAGUGGCAGAGCAACGGUUUCGUAAACCGUAGGUCGUGGGUUCAACUCCCAUUCCUGGCU
Molecule: transfer RNA, 72 nt
Filed under: Bacteroidota bacterium
Lineage: Bacteria; Pseudomonadati; Bacteroidota
Description: Bacteroidetes bacterium (groundwater metagenome) tRNA-Thr
Rfam family: tRNA
About the family: Transfer RNA (tRNA) molecules are approximately 80 nucleotides in length. Their secondary structure includes four short double-helical elements and three loops (D, anti-codon, and T loops).
Source: RNAcentral